UGGGGAAUAUUGGACAAUGGGCGAAAGCCUGAUCCAGCCAUGCCGCGUGUGUGAAGAAGGUCUUCGGAUUGUAAAGCACUUUAAGUUGGGAGGAAGGGCAGUAAGUUAAUACCUUGCUGUUUUGACGUUACCGACAGAAUAAGCACCGGCUAACUCUGUGCCAGCAGCCGCGGUAAUACAGAGGGUGCAAGCGUUAAUCGGAAUUACUGGGCGUAAAGCGCGCGUAGGUGGUUUGUUAAGUUGGAUGUGAAAGCCCCGGGCUCAACCUGGGAACUGCAUCCAAAACUGGCAAGCUAGAGUACGGUAGAGGGUGGUGGAAUUUCCUGUGUAGCGGUGAAAUGCGUAGAUAUAGGAAGGAACACCAGUGGCGAAGGCGACCACCUGGACUGAUACUGACACUGAGGUGCGAAAGCGUGGGGAGCAAACAGGAUUAGAUACCCUAGUAGUCCCUGAGCGGGCUGGCAAGGCGCAU
This 472-nucleotide ribosomal RNA is filed under the name uncultured bacterium. Its description in RNAcentral is "bacterial SSU rRNA". It matches the Rfam family "Bacterial small subunit ribosomal RNA", at positions 355 to 825 of the family's 1533-position model. The record is from RNAcentral.